GAUGAACGCUGGCGGCGUGCCUAAUACAUGCAAGUCGAGCGAACGGACGAGAAGCUUGCUUCUCUGAUGUUAGCGGCGGACGGGUGAGUAACACGUGGAUAACCUACCUAUAAGACUGGGAUAACUUCGGGAAACCGGAGCUAAUAUCGGAUGAUAUUUUGAACCGCAUGGUUCAAAAGUGAAAGACGGUCUUGCUGUCACUUAUAGAUGGAUCCGCGCUGCAUUAGCUAGUUGGUAAGGUAACGGCUUACCAAGGCAACGAUGCAUAGCCGACCUGAGAGGAUGAUCAGCCACACUGGAACUGAGACACGGUCCAGACUCCUACGGGAGGCAGCAGUAGGGAAUCUUCCGCAAUGGGCGAAAGCCUGACGGAGCAACGCCGCGUGAGUGAUGAAGGUCUUCGGAUCGUAAAACUCUGUUAGUAGGGAAGAACAUAUGUGUAAGUAACUGUGCACAUCUUGACGGUACCUAAUCAGAAAGCCACGGCUAACUACGUG
Molecule: ribosomal RNA, 497 nt
Filed under: uncultured bacterium
Lineage: Bacteria
Description: partial 16S ribosomal RNA
Rfam family: Bacterial small subunit ribosomal RNA
Source: RNAcentral